This 71-nucleotide transfer RNA is filed under the name Neotrygon indica (Indian Ocean blue-spotted maskray). RNAcentral describes it as "tRNA-Ser". It matches the Rfam family "tRNA". Rfam says of the family: Transfer RNA (tRNA) molecules are approximately 80 nucleotides in length. Their secondary structure includes four short double-helical elements and three loops (D, anti-codon, and T loops). Lineage: Eukaryota; Metazoa; Chordata; Chondrichthyes; Myliobatiformes; Dasyatidae. The record is from RNAcentral.
AAGAAAGUGACAGAGUAGUUAUGUGGUUGGCUUGAAACCAAUUGAUGGGGGUUCAAUUCCUUCCUUUCUUG